AACGCUGGCGGCGUGCCUAACACAUGCAAGUCGAACGANAAAGGGGGACUUCGGUCCCUGAGUACAGUGGCGCACGGGUGAGUAACACGUGACUUAUCUACCCUCGAGUGGGGAAUAACUUCGGGAAACCGAGGCUAAUACCGCAUAAUACCCACGGGUCAAAGGAGCAAUUCGCUUGAGGAGGAGGUCGCGGCCGAUUAGUUAGUUGGCGGGGUAAUGGCCCCACCCAAGACGGUGAUCGGUAUCCGGCCUGAGAGGGCGCACGGACACACUGGAACUGAAACACGGUCCAGACUCCUACGGGAGGCAGCAGUGGGGAAUUUUGCGCAAUGGGGGAAACCCUGACGCAGCAACGCCGCGUGGAGGAUGAAGUCUCUUGGGACGUAAACUCCUUUCGAUCGGGACGAUUAUGACGGUACCGGAAGAAGAAGCCCCGGCUAACUUCGUG
RNAcentral lists this ribosomal RNA (448 nucleotides) under uncultured bacterium. RNAcentral describes it as "bacterial SSU rRNA". It matches the Rfam family "Bacterial small subunit ribosomal RNA", at positions 32 to 507 of the family's 1533-position model. The record is from RNAcentral.